GCCGGGUGCGGCGGCGUGCACCUAUAAUCCCAGCUACUCGGGAGGCUGAGGCAGGAGGAUUGCUUGAGCCUGGGAGACAGAGGUUGCAGUGAGCUGAGAUCGUGCCACUGCACUCCGGCCUGGCCAACAGAGCGAGACUCUGUCUCAA
This 148-nucleotide non-coding RNA is filed under the name Homo sapiens (human). The record is from Rfam by way of RNAcentral. Lineage: Eukaryota; Metazoa; Chordata; Mammalia; Primates; Hominidae.